RNAcentral lists this ribosomal RNA (465 nucleotides) under uncultured Pseudomonas sp. RNAcentral describes it as "bacterial SSU rRNA". It matches the Rfam family "Bacterial small subunit ribosomal RNA", at positions 338 to 795 of the family's 1533-position model. Lineage: Bacteria; Pseudomonadati; Pseudomonadota; Gammaproteobacteria; Pseudomonadales; Pseudomonadaceae. The record is from RNAcentral.
CCUACGGGAGGCUGCAGUGGGGAAUAUUGGACAAUGGGCGAAAGCCUGAUCCAGCCAUGCCGCGUGUGUGAAGAAGGUCUUCGGAUUGUAAAGCACUUUAAGUUGGGAGGAAGGGCAGUAAGUUAAUACCUUGCUGUUUUGACGUUACCGACAGAAUAAGCACCGGCUAACUUCGUGCCAGCAGCCGCGGUAAUACGAAGGGUGCAAGCGUUAAUCGGAAUUACUGGGCGUAAAGCGCGCGUAGGUGGUUCAGCAAGUUGGAUGUGAAAGCCCCGGGCUCAACCUGGGAACUGCAUCCAAAACUACUGAGCUAGAGUACGGUAGAGGGUGGUGGAAUUUCCUGUGUAGCGGUGAAAUGCGUAGAUAUAGGAAGGAACACCAGUGGCGAAGGCGACCACCUGGACUGAUACUGACACUGAGGUGCGAAAGCGUGGGGAGCAAACAGGAUUAGAUACCCGGGUAGUC